CUAUUUUAUCGCUAGUCGUUAUCAAUAGGCAAAAACACAGAGCACUAUCUCGCGGUUGUUAUGUUACUUGUGCAUAGUUCUUCUGAUAUCCACAUUUUCUCAAACAGCUAGUACUCAAAUUCAAACUCGGAGAUGGAGUCUCUGAAAUCCUCGUUCCUCUCCUCUACGCCACUCUUACCUCCACACCACACCAAGAAGACCAAGAAAAACAACCACAACAAAUCCAUUCUCCCCAUUCGCAGUUACACCCCAUCCCACGAAGUACACCGUGACCCAUGGUCCCCUCACACCGGCGACCCAACCAAACCAAAACCCAAUCACCUCAAACCUAAAACCCCUCUCUCCGACAACAACGCCCGCCGCAUAAUCAAGGGUAAAGCUCGCUAUCUCAGCGCUCUGAGGAGGAACCAAGGUCCCAAAGCUCAAACUCCUCGUUGGAUUAAGCGAACUCCUGAACAGAUGGUUCAGUAUUUGCAAGAUGAUCGUAAUGGUCAGUUGUAUGGGAAACACGUGAUUGCUGCUAUUAAGAAGGUUCGAGCUCUUUCGGAGAUGGCGGAUGGGGUGUAUGAUAUGAGGGUGGUUAUGGGUUCUUUUGUUGGGAAGCUUACUUUUAAGGAGAUGUGUGUUGUGCUUAAGGAGCAAAAGGGGUGGAGACAAGUUAGGGAUUUCUUUGGCUGGAUGAAAAUGCAGCUGAGCUACCAUCCGAGUGUUAUUGUCUAUACUAUAAUAUUGCGCCUAUAUGGGCAAGUUGGAAAGCUUAAUCUGGCGGAAGAAAUCUUCUUGGAGAUGCUCGAUGCAGGUUGUGAACCAGAUGAAGUGGCUUGUGGUACCAUGCUCUGUUCUUAUGCAAGAUGGGGGCGCCAUAAGUCCAUGUUAUCUUUCUAUUCAGCUGUGAAAGAAAGGGGAAUAAUUCUCUCGGUUGCUGUCUUCAACUUUAUGCUAUCAUCAUUGCAAAAGAAAUCACUCCAUAGAGAGGUUGUUCUGGUGUGGAGGGAUAUGGUAAGAAAUGGGGUAGUACCUAAUUAUUUUACUUAUACGGUAGUCAUUAGUUCUCUUGUCAAAGAAGGGCUGCACGUCGAUGCUCUCGAGACUUUUGAUGAGAUGAAGAAUAGCGGAUUUGUCCCUGAGGAAUCAACUUAUAACUCACUCAUAAAUUUAAAUGCUAAAAAUGGAAACAGAGAUCAAGUGCAAAGACUGUAUGACGAAAUGAGGUUUCAUGGAGUAGCUCCUAGUAAUUACACUUGUGCUACACUUAUAUCUUUGUAUUACAAAUACGAGGAUUACCCUAAAGUCCUCUCUCUCUUUUCUGAAAUGGCAAGAAACAAAACCCCAGCUGAUGAAGUCAUAUAUGGUUUGCUUAUAAGAGUUUAUGGAAAGCUUGGUUUAUACGAGGAUGCUUGCAAAACAUUUGAAAAGAUAAAAUACCAAGGCCUACUCACCAAUGAGAAGACAUAUUUGGCAAUGGCACAAGUCCUUCUUGCUUCAGGAAAUGUCGACAAAGCUUUAGAAGUUAUUGGACUCAUGAAGUCUAGAAACCUACGGUUCUCUCGAUUUGCUUAUAUUGUCCUGUUACAGUGUUACGUGACUAAAGAAAAUGUAGUAUCAGCUGAGGGAACAUUUUUAGCUCUAUGCAAGUCAGGGCUGCCCGAUGCCGGUUCUUGUAACGAUAUGCUUAGUCUGUAUGUAGGACUUGAUUUGAUGAACAAGGCGAAGGAAUUUAUCGUUCGAAUAAGGAAGGACGGGACACAAUUUGACGAGGAGCUGUACAGGACAGUCAUGAAGGUUUAUUGCAAGGAGGGAAUGCUGCCGGAAGCUGAGCAGUUGACAAAUGAAAUGGUUAAGUAUGAAUCUCUCAAAAAUUCUAAAUUCCUCCAGACAUUUUAUUGGAUUCUUUGUGAACAUAAGGAGGAUGUGCAAAUUGAUGAUAAACUAGUCACCAUGAAGUCCACUGACAAACUCGAUACUACAGCUCUUGGGAUGAUGCUCCGUGCAUAUCUGACAAAUAACAACUUCAGUAAGACAAAAAUGUUACUGAAACUAUUGCUGGGUUGUGCAGGGGGAUCAAAUAUUGUUUGUCAUAUCAUCAUUAAUUUGACUAAAAAUGGAGAAAUCAGUAAAGCCGAAUCACUCAACCAUCAAUUGAUUAGCCUUGGCUGCAAAAUGGAAGAAGUCACUGCAGCUUCUUUAAUUAGCCAUUAUGGGAAACACCAUAUGCUCAAACAAGCUGAGGAUAUUUUUGCAGAAUAUGUAAAUUCUCCAACGUAUCGUAAACUAUUUUAUAACUCUAUGAUUGAUGCAUAUGCCAAAUGCAGCAAACAAGAAAAAGCAUAUUUGUUAUAUAAGCAAGCAACAGAGGAAGGACAUGAUUUAGGUGCUGUUGGUGUUACCCUUGCUGUAAAUGCUUUGACAAAUGAAGGAAAACAUCAGGAGGCUGAGAAUAUCAUCUCCCGGAGCCUUGAAGAAAACAUAAAACUUGAUACUGUUGCUUAUAAUACGUUUAUCAAAUCCAUGCUUGAAGCAGGAAAAUUGCAUUUUGCAUCUAGUAUUUUUGAGCUCAUGUGUACCAAUGGCAUCACUCCAUCAAUUCAAACAUAUAACACUAUGAUAAGUGUCUACGGAAAAUAUCAAAAGUUGGACAGAGCUGUGGAGAUGUUCAACAAAGCUAGCUCAUUAGGCGUCCCUUUGGAUGAUAAAGCAUAUAUGAAUUUGAUAGGCUAUUAUGGGAAAGCUGGUAUGAUACAGGAAGCUUCACAGUUGUUUAGUAAAAUGCAGGAAGAAGGAAUUAGACCUGGAAAGAUCAGCUAUAAUAUUAUGAUAUAUGUAUAUGCAAAUGCUGGAGUUCUUCAUGAAGUAGAGAAACUUUUCCAGGCCAUGCAGAGACAAGGUUGUUUGCCCGAUUCUUCCACCUAUCUUUCACUAGUCCAAGCAUAUACAGAAAGCCUAAAUUACUCCAAAGCUGAGGAAACCAUAUAUACUAUGCAGAGCAAGGGCAUUUCACCAUCCUGUGCCCAUUUUAAUAUUUUGCUCUCAGCAUUCAUAAAAGCCGGGAUGAUUGAUGAAGCCAAGAGGGUAUAUGCAAGAAUAUCAACUUUCGGUUUAAUUCCCGAUCUCAUAUGUAACCGAACAAUUCUGAAAGGUUACCUGAAAUAUGGACGUGUGGAAGAAGGAAUCAACUUUUUUGAAAGUAUACGCAAAUCAACAAAAGGGGACAGGUUCAUCAUGAGUGUAGCUGUACAUUUAUAUAAAUCCGCAGGAAAGGAAAGCCAGGCUAAUGAAAUAUUGAGUUCAAUGAACAAUAUGAGGAUUCCUUUCCUCAAAAAACUUGAAGUGGGAUCGGGGAGAGAGUGAAAGUUCCUUGAGAUAUAAACUACUUAAAAAAUGCAUGUAUGUUUGAGAAGCAAUAUGGUAACAGAGAAGAGCCGGCAAUGAUCAUCGAGCUUGUAUAUAUUACUUAAUUGACAAUGGUGUUGAGGGAACCCUGGCUAUAGCUCUGCAUUACUGCUGGCAAGGAUGAUUGAACAAUUUGAACUCUUAGUUCAAAAUGUACUUUUGCUGUUAACGACGAGGACCCGGGCCACUUUCAUAUCCGUAAAUUCUGUAUAUGCCAAGAAAGUGUUUAUUCUACCUCCCAAUUAAAGGAAGUUGAACCAAGGAGUAACUUGUGCAACUAUUAUGAUAAGAGUGUGUUUAGUGGGGAUACUUGUGAACACUUGGGGUUCACAAGUGACUCUUUGGCCCCAUAAAUUUAUACACGUGUACAGAUUUAUAUGUUCAUUGAAAUUCCAUAUUCGUUGACCACAUAAAAGGAACUUGUUGAUAGCAUUUUUUGAUAUUCUAGCAGGACCUCUCUUUCUAAAGUCUUAUAAAACUUGUUGAUGAACCUCUGCUCUUUCAUCCAUCCACUUGUAUCAGAGGUGUGUUAGCAACAACAAUCUUCCAUGCAUCCUCCAUAGUGGCGACAUCCUCCAUAGUGGCUAUGUCGCCGCAAUCUUUGUCCUGCUUAUUUCCUCUAGUGCAAAGGCCUUAUUGAGAUUUUCUCGUUUUUUAAUAUAAAUUCAUUUUAAAAAUUCCAUAUGCAUUAAUGACUUUUUUUAUAAUUUUUUAUAUCGAAUUUACUUUUGAUAAAC
Vicia villosa (hairy vetch) is the source of this 4127-nucleotide RNA transcript. It is a transcript of the gene named pentatricopeptide repeat-containing protein At5g27270-like, with no coding region annotated. The record is from RefSeq and is a predicted model, not a curated record. NCBI's taxonomy places the organism in Eukaryota, Viridiplantae, Streptophyta, Magnoliopsida, Fabales, Fabaceae. The transcript is spliced from 9 exons.